GGGUCGUGUGUGGGUCUUGGUGGUAUCACUCCUGUUCGAAUCUGCAGAAGUGCUAUGUGAACCUGUACUGCGGAUGCCGUCCUUCCUUUGCAUUCCGCCAUAUGUUGCCGUACAGGGACGAUGUGCUCUGCCCACUUCACCGCAGCCCAGCCUCUAUCCAUAUUUAACUGACGUGCCAACAAAUAUGCCUAAAGAGACAACGCAGACAUUCCAGAUGACGAUUAUUACCACAGCCUCAUCGGCAAACACUAUUCCUACCGCAAAGAAUACGCAAGCGACAUCAUACACCGACACCAUGCCGGAUGUUUUCAGGACAAUUGUUCCGGAGGAGAUAAACCUACCAACUAUACCAACAAAUUAUCUUCCUCAAACAAACAUUCCUCAACCAGUUAUUCCACAUGUUUCUAGACCAGGUAUUCCUGAAAAAGAAAUCCCAAGUAGACCAUCAAUAGUCGCUCCUAAAAAAAAUAUUCCUCAACUAGUGGCUCCAAAUAUUUCUAUGCCAGUGAAUCAUUUCAUAAAGUAUCCAAAUUUACCAAAUUUUUUUCUUCCCAAUAUUUCUAUGCCAGUUAUUCCUUAUAUAAACUUCCCAAAAAUCCCAAAAAUCACCCUCCCUAGAAGCCCGCCGCGCUUCCCAAAUAAUUAUCUAUUUCCUAGUACAUUUUUCCCCUAGUAUUCCCUAGUAGCCUUCCAUGGAAGUUCUCUAUUUUGCAUGGUAUGAAAUACAAUAUUUGUUGCUGCGCGGGUAAUCCUCGUCCGUAGUCCUUA
Long non-coding RNA from Drosophila persimilis, 768 nucleotides. RefSeq lists it as uncharacterized. NCBI's taxonomy places the organism in Eukaryota, Metazoa, Arthropoda, Insecta, Diptera, Drosophilidae. The record is from RefSeq and is a predicted model, not a curated record. The transcript has 2 exons.